Molecule: ribosomal RNA, 490 nt
Filed under: uncultured bacterium
Lineage: Bacteria
Description: bacterial SSU rRNA
Rfam family: Bacterial small subunit ribosomal RNA
Source: RNAcentral
GAUGAAACGCUAGCUACAGGCUUAACACAUGCAAGUCGAGGGGCAUCAUGACUGAGGUUUACCUUAGUUGAUGGCGACCGGCGAAUGGGUGAGUAACACGUAUCCAACCUGCCCGUUAUGGAGGAUAGCCCUCCGAAAGGAGAAUUAAUACUCCAUGUUGUGCUGAAUUCGCAUGUUUUCGGCACUAAAGAUUCAUCGGUAACGGAUGGGGAUGCGUCCGAUUAGGUAGUAGGCGGGGUAACGGCCCACCAAGGCGACGAUCAGUAGGGGUUCUGAGAGGAAGGUCCCCCACAUUGGAACUGAGACACGGUCCAAACUCCUACGGGAGGCAGCAGUGAGGAAUAUUGGUCAAUGGGCGAAAGCCUGAACCAGCCAAGUAGCGUGCAGGAUGACGGCCCUAUGGGUUGUAAACUGCUUUUAGGCGGGGGUAAAGUGGCGGACGUGUUCCGCCUUUGCAAGUACCGCCAGAAAAGGACCGGCUAAUUCCGUG